AGAGGGGUUAGUAUACUCUAUAUUACCUAUUCUUGUCAAGAACAGAAAAUAGGAUUGAACCCUAUACCCCUCUA
Molecule: transfer RNA, 74 nt
Filed under: Alligator mississippiensis (American alligator)
Lineage: Eukaryota; Metazoa; Chordata; Crocodylia; Alligatoridae
Description: tRNA-Asp (GAY)
Source: RNAcentral